This 79-nucleotide non-coding RNA is filed under the name Stygamoeba regulata. The record is from RNAcentral. Lineage: Eukaryota; Discosea; Stygamoebida.
CACCUUUCUCACCAAACAACUGCUCGAGCAGCGGGCUGUGGAAAUUCACCUCAACACAAGAGAACUCAAUUAUCUCAAA